RNAcentral lists this small RNA (833 nucleotides) under Inonotus hispidus. Its description in RNAcentral is "eukaryotic LSU rRNA". The stretch from base 337 to 490 matches the Rfam family "5.8S ribosomal RNA". The record is from RNAcentral. Lineage: Eukaryota; Fungi; Basidiomycota; Agaricomycetes; Hymenochaetales; Hymenochaetaceae.
UCCGUAGGUGAACCUGCGGAAGGAUCAUUAUCGAGUUUUGAAACCGAAGGUCUGUGCUGGUGCGGAAACGCGCAUGUGCACGGCUUUCGUGCUCAAAUCCAUUCAAACCCCUGUGCACUUUUGAACCGGUUGAAGCUAGUAGCUAGUAACACUUUCGACUCGAUGACUUAGUACUAUGAGUAAUACUAGUAGGAGGGCUUUGCGGCCUUUCGAACGUUGAAAGCAGGAAAACGUUAAGAGAAGAGAGGGUGAAGGCGAACGCUUUGACUAGUUUAUAUUACAAACCCUUUUAUUGUUAUGUGAAUGUAAUGCUCCUUGUGGGCGAUAAUGUUAUACAACUUUCAACAACGGAUCUCUAGGCUCUCGCAUCGAUGAAGAACGCAGCGAAAUGCGAUAAGUAAUGUGAAUUGCAGAAUUCAGUGAAUCAUCGAAUCUUUGAACGCACCUUGCGCCCCUUGGUAUUCCGAGGGGCAUGCCUGUUUGAGUGUCGUGUUAAUCUCAAAUCACUUGUCUUAUGUCUGCUCCUUGAUUGAAGUAGGCUGACUUGCGAUUUGGACUUGGAGGUUUAUGCUGGCCCGGGCGACUUUGUUGUUGCCCUUUGGUUCGUCGGCUCCUCUUAAAUACAUUAGCUGGACUUUGGUUCGCGUUUUAUGGUGUAAUAGUGUUAUUAUGCUUCACCGGAGCGCUUGCCUAACGGGUCUGCUUCUAAUCGUCCGUGUUACUUUUUGUGACAAUAGGACAAGGAUCCCUUAGUGGCCCUUAACUCUGACACCUUUGACCUCAAAUCAGGUAGGACUACCCGCUGAACUUAAGCAUAUCAAAUAAGCGGAGGA